GAGGAUAUUCUUUCUUUCUUUGGUUAUAUACAUUGUUACCACAUCUGUCUCUUGAAAGUUGAAAACAACCUUUUUAUUUUUUAAUCGCAAUUAAUUUCUGCAUUAUUGAUCAAUAUAGCCCAUGCUACACGUCAAUCGGGUAAUAUUUAAUUUUCAUUUUUUCACUUGAUUUUUCAACUUCAGAUUGAAUAUCAACAGACAUGGGUUAUUAUUUUCUAUUAGUUAGUCAUUGUUAAUUGUUUUAAG
RNAcentral lists this long non-coding RNA (246 nucleotides) under Salvia miltiorrhiza (redroot sage). Its description in RNAcentral is "long non-coding RNA (SMIL_LNC002617)". Lineage: Eukaryota; Viridiplantae; Streptophyta; Magnoliopsida; Lamiales; Lamiaceae. The record is from RNAcentral.